RNAcentral lists this ribosomal RNA (305 nucleotides) under uncultured bacterium. RNAcentral's name for it is "partial 16S ribosomal RNA". It matches the Rfam family "Bacterial small subunit ribosomal RNA", at positions 508 to 807 of the family's 1533-position model. The record is from RNAcentral.
ACAGCAGCCGCCGCGGUAAUACGUAGGGCGCAAGCGUUGUCCGGAAUUAUUGGGCGUAAAGAGCUCGUAGGCGGUCUGUCGCGUCUGGUGUGAAAUCCCGAGGCUCAACCUCGGGCUUGCAUCGGGUACGGGCAGACUAGAGUGCGGUAGGGGAGACUGGAAUUCCUGGUAUAGCGGUGGAAUGCGCAGAUAUCAGGAGGAACACCGAUGGCGAAGGCAGGUCUCUGGGCCGCAACUGACGCUGAGGAGCGAAAGCAUGGGGAGCGAACAGGAUUAGAUACCCCCGUAGUCCCUGUCUCUUAUAC